Solanum tuberosum (potato) is the source of this 396-nucleotide long non-coding RNA. RefSeq lists it as uncharacterized. Lineage: Eukaryota; Viridiplantae; Streptophyta; Magnoliopsida; Solanales; Solanaceae. The record is from RefSeq and is a predicted model, not a curated record. The transcript is spliced from 2 exons.
UCUCAAAAAGGUAAGCCGGUAAUUUUUCCUUCUCCCAUCCUUGUUUCUUUCUCGCGUAUUUCCACAUCCAUGGAAAAUGUUCCACGUGUUGCAUUUUUUUCUGUCUUCCACAUUUGUUAUUCUAAAAAGGAUUCCUUUAUGUUCCACGGAAAACAACAGACUCGUUUUGUACCCAAAUUUGGAGACGACCGUUUCAUUCCAAUUCCUCAAAGAUCCGCUCCGCUCUAACAAAAAGAUCUAUCAAAAAAUUCUUACUGUGGAGCAUCUUAUGUCUUCAUUUGCUUGGUUUAUGUGUUGUUCAAUGUUCUAUUUGUUAAUUUGAUUUGUUACCUUUCGUUUAAACUUAAUGUCAAUUUGGUUGGUUUGUUGAAUCCAGAAAGAUCCUUUGAACUUUUA